This 465-nucleotide ribosomal RNA is filed under the name uncultured bacterium. Its description in RNAcentral is "partial 16S ribosomal RNA". It matches the Rfam family "Bacterial small subunit ribosomal RNA", at positions 28 to 507 of the family's 1533-position model. The record is from RNAcentral.
GACGAACGCUGGCGGCGUGCUUAACACAUGCAAGUCGAACGGAAAGGCCCUGCUUGCAGGGUACUCGAGUGGCGAACGGGUGAGUAACACGUGGGUGAUCUGCCCUGCACUUCGGGAUAAGCCUGGGAAACUGGGUCUAAUACCGGAUAUGACCUUCCAUGUAGUGUGGGGGGUGGAAAGAUUUAUCGGUGUGGGAUGAGCCCGCGGCCUAUCAGCUUGUUGGUGGGGUAAUGGCCUACCAAGGCGUCGACGGGUAGCCGGCCUGAGAGGGUGGACGGCCACAUUGGGACUGAGAUACGGCCCAGACUCCUACGGGAGGCAGCAGUGGGGAAUAUUGCACAAUGGGCGGAAGCCUGAUGCAGCGACGCCGCGUGGGGGAUGACGGCCUUCGGGUUGUAAACCUCUUUCGACAGGGACGAAGCUUCGGUGACGGUUCCUGUAGAAGAAGCACCGGCUAACUACGUG